UCAGCUCCAGCGCUGAUCAGUG
Molecule: microRNA, 22 nt
Filed under: Branchiostoma floridae (Florida lancelet)
Lineage: Eukaryota; Metazoa; Chordata; Leptocardii; Amphioxiformes; Branchiostomatidae
Also listed under: 1 other name
Description: Bfl-Mir-4868-P1_3p (mature (guide))
Source: RNAcentral